Molecule: long non-coding RNA, 213 nt
Filed under: Homo sapiens (human)
Lineage: Eukaryota; Metazoa; Chordata; Mammalia; Primates; Hominidae
Description: non-protein coding lnc-CREM-3:1
Source: RNAcentral
GACUGGCUGAGGGGCAAGGUGGAAGUCAAUCAAGAGACUAUCCAGCGGCUCCUUGAGGAGAAUGACCAACUGAUCCGCUGUAUCGUGGAGUAUCAGAACAAGGGCGGAGCGAACGAGUGCGUCCAGUGCCAGCUUGUGUUACACAGAAAUCUCAUUUAUUUGGCUACCAUCGCAGAUGCCAGCCCAACCAGUACUUCAAAAGCAAUGGAAUAA